Molecule: ribosomal RNA, 406 nt
Filed under: Cardinium endosymbiont of Bemisia tabaci
Lineage: Bacteria; Pseudomonadati; Bacteroidota; Cytophagia; Cytophagales; Amoebophilaceae
Also listed under: 1 other name
Description: partial 16S ribosomal RNA
Rfam family: Bacterial small subunit ribosomal RNA
Source: RNAcentral
CGUCCUAUUAGCUAGUUGGUGAGGUAAUGGCUCACCAAGGCUACGAUGGGUAGGGGUUCUUAGUGGAAGGUCCCCCACACUGGCACUGAGAUACGGGCCAGACUCCUACGGGAGGCAGCAGUAGGGAAUAUUGGUCAAUGGGCGCAAGCCUGAACCAGCCAUACCGCGUGCAGGAUGAAGGCUCUCUGAGUUGUAAACUGCUUUUGUACAGGAGCAAAAAAAUCCCUGCGGGGGUUCUUGAGAGUACUGUAAGAAUAAGCACCGGCUAAUUCCGUGCCAGCAGCCGCGGUAAUACGGGAGGUGCAAGCGUUAUCCGGUUUUAUUGGGUUUAAAGGGUGCGUAGGCGGCUUAUUAAGUCAGUUGUGAAAUCCUAGUGCUUAACGCUAGAACUGCGAUUGAUACUAUU